CUGGCAAUCUGCAGCACCUCUGCACAUGUGCCCUCUCUCUAUGUACCUGGAGCCAAACGUGAGGCACCUCAUGUGUCCCGGCCAGCACUGCAAUCUGUAGAUGGUUUUGCCCUCUCAGGACCUCCUUGUCUUUCCCUGAUCAUGGAAGUUUAGAACAGGUGCUGAAAUUUUUAGAUGUCUUUUAAAGACCACCACUCCAGCGAACCAUGAAAAGGGCUUGCUAAUGGACAUGGUGAGGUCUUGCAUCCAUUAAAUUCAUUGCAAAGGAGAAGCUAAGUGCUUUCCAGCUGCACAAUUUCUGGUGCAUGAAGUGCUGUUGGGACUGUGGAGAGCCAUAGACCAUGACCUGUCUGCAGUUACCAACACAACAUGUGCAGAUGGACAAAGAGAUAUUUGCCUUCCCAGCCUGAAAGCGAUUUGAGAACAUGGCAGUGUCCUGAUGGACGGAGGCAGCCACCCUGGACUGUUGCAUUAUCCAUGCUCUGAGCUGAGGGAACAGGAGGGUCAGCU
Long non-coding RNA from Zonotrichia leucophrys gambelii, 510 nucleotides. RefSeq lists it as uncharacterized. NCBI's taxonomy places the organism in Eukaryota, Metazoa, Chordata, Aves, Passeriformes, Passerellidae. The record is from RefSeq and is a predicted model, not a curated record. The transcript is spliced from 3 exons.